RNAcentral lists this ribosomal RNA (687 nucleotides) under uncultured Bacteroidota bacterium. RNAcentral describes it as "bacterial SSU rRNA". It matches the Rfam family "Bacterial small subunit ribosomal RNA", at positions 60 to 748 of the family's 1533-position model. The record is from RNAcentral. Lineage: Bacteria; Pseudomonadati; Bacteroidota.
AGUCGAGGGGUAGAGGCUUUCGGGCCUUGAGACCGGCGCACGGGUGCGUAACGCGUAUGCAAUCUGCCUUGUACAAAGGGAUAGCCCAGAGAAAUUUGGAUUAAUACCUUAUAGUAUGUUGAUGUGGCAUCACAUUAUCAUUAAAGAUUUAUCGGUACAAGAUGAGCAUGCGUCCCAUUAGCUAGUUGGUGUGGUAACGGCACACCAAGGCAAUGAUGGGUAGGGGUCCUGAGAGGGAGAUCCCCCACACUGGUACUGAGACACGGACCAGACUCCUACGGGAGGCAGCAGUGAGGAAUAUUGGACAAUGGGCGCAAGCCUGAUCCAGCCAUGCCGCGUGCAGGAUGAAGCAUCUAUGGUGUGUAAACUGCUUUUAUACGGGAAGAAACCCUGGCUCGUGAGCCAGAUUGACGGUACCGUAGGAAUAAGGAUCGGCUAACUCCGUGCCAGCAGCCGCGGUAAUACGGAGGAUCCAAGCGUUAUCCGGAAUCAUUGGGUUUAAAGGGUCCGUAGGCGGUUUUAUAAGUCAGUGGUGAAAUCCGGUAGCUCAACUAUCGAACGGCCAUUGAUACUGUAGAACUUGAAUUAUUGUGAAGUAACUAGAAUAUGUAGUGUAGCGGUGAAAUGCUUAGAUAUUACAUGGAAUACCAAUUGCGAAGGCAGGUUACUAACAAUACAUUGACGCUG